GGGUUAUGUUUAAGGUCUAGACGACUAACAUGUAAGUCGUCUGGGAAGUCUUCUAAUUCCCGCUAAAAAUAUUGAAGUCUUCUGGGCGACUUACAAGUAAGUCGUCUAGUAAGUCUUCUGAUCAAAAAUAUUUAACCUUAUUGGAAUUUUUGUCUCCAUAUAUAAAAAAAAAUUUACACAUUCUCUCUCCUCCUCUCAAAUGGGUGCAACAAAAAUGGUAUGUUCCUCAUUCUAAACUCUCCAACAUCUCUCUAAUCUCACUGAACUUAUAAACACCAACUUUAUAUCAAUUUAUUGUUUUUGUCUCAUGUCUUUUUCACUAAAUUAUCUUGUUUUGUAGGUUUUUCAACACAUGAUUCUUAUCUUCCACUCAUUUAAAGGUAGAUUUAUUAAUUUUAGAUAUGUAUUUUUGUGUGUUCUACAAAGGUAGAUCUAUCUAAUAUUCCACUUAUUUUCUCUGUUUUUAAGCCAUUUGAACGUUUUUGGAGAUGCAAGUUUUUCAGAUCUGGAUUUGGAUAUGCAGGUUUUUCAUAUCUGGAAGACUUCUGGGCUAGAAGACUUCCAUACGACUUCUAGGAAGACUUCCAGACGACUCCCAAGAGGUCUUCUGACGGAGUCUUCUCCCAUGUCUCCCUUUCAUAAUAGAUUUGAGUGUUUUGGUAAGUUCUUAUGCUGAUUUUUCUUCAUUUGGUAACCUCCUGUUGCAUAAAAUUCAUAUUUUUUUCCCAAACUAAAACUCUCCAAACCUACUCUAAUCUCUUUGACUUGAAAACACUAAACUUUAUAUGAAUUUUCAUUUUUGUCUCAUGUCUUUCUCACUAAUCUAUCUUUUUAUUGCAAGUUUUAAUCAGAUGACCCUCAUCUUCCACUUGGAUAUGUACUUUGUGUGUUCUAUAAAAGUAUAUAUAUCUAAUUUUCCACUCAUUUUCUCUGUUUUUAAGCCAUUUGAAUGUUUUUUGAUAUGAUAUGCAGGUUUUACAGAUCUGGGUUUGAUAUAAAUGUUUUUCAGAUCUGGAUCAGACUUUUGAAGACCUAUGGGAAGUCUUCUCGGAAGUCUUCCAGACGACUUCCAGGAAAUUUUCUAACGGGGUCUUCUUCCAUAUCAAGUGGAGUCUAAGCUUGUCUUUGUAGAGGAAUGAUCUAUAAUAGUUUUGUUUGUGAUAUGUUUUGUGAUUUGCAUGUGUACUCCUUUAGUUGUGACUUUUUUGUAAAUUUGAAGAGAUAUUAAUGAAAAAAAUUGGUAAAUAUAUUCAUUUUCCACGACAUUAUCAUGCCAAAAUUACUUGACAUAAUUGAAGUUAUUAAUAAAACUUCAAUAGCAAAACAGAGUAACACAAAAAUUAAUCAAAUUUAUUACAACUAAGGGAGAAGAAUUCUAAAGAAUACUUAGUCAAAUUCACAAAAGAAAAAACACUACAUAAGUUCAAAGCUACAUAAGUAAACAUUAUAUCUUAUGAUCUGAGAAGACACAUUAAACCAUGUUACUUGAUACUCUUGAAAUUACUUAACACUUUUAAAAAUUAAAUGAACAUAUCUUAAAGUUACUUAACAAAUUUACAAAAACUAACGUAGAAGACUUCCACGGAAGUCUUCUCAAUUAGCUAGAAACUUUACUAAGCAUGAAUGUUGGUAAUCUUAUAAAUAUCACCAAUUAAGUUAUAAAUUUCAUUCGGUAGCUCCAAUAUUGACUAAUUUACAUGAAUUAACAAAAAAAAAUUUAAAAGUCUUUAUAGUUUUUGAGAAAAUGAAAGUUUAUUAAACAUUGACGCAGACGACUUCCACGGAGGCCGUCUGGUAGACUUCUAGGAAGUCAUCCAUUUAGGUUAAUUUUGCAAUUGAUUUUUAACCUAGACGACUUACAUGGAAGUCCAUCUUUGUUUGUUAAAAAAAAAAUUUGAGACUAUUUCCAUGUAAGUCGUCUAGGGAAAAUUGAUUAGUUUUGCAUUUGACCGGAUUGUGUCAGAAAUUUGACAUUUCCUGGACGACUUACAUUAAAAAAUCAGUAUUUUGUUAUACAUAGACGACUUCCAUGUAAGUCGUUUCAGGUUAGUUUUGCAAUUAAAACAUAAAACAAAAAAAAUUAUUUUUUUCUAGACGACUUAUACGGAAGUCGUCCGUCCGACGACUUACAUGGAAGUCGUCCAAGAUAAGCAAGGUUUGACCAGAAUCUCGGAAUAAAAUCAUGGACGACUUUUCCAAGAUAAGCAAGGUUUGACCAGAAUCUCAGAAUAAAAUCAUGGACGACAUCAGACGACUUCCGUGUAAGUCGUCUAGACAAAAAUAAUUUUUUUGUUUUAUUUUUCAAUUGCAAAACUAACCUGAGACAACUUACACGGAAGUCGUCUAGGUAUAACGAAAUAUUGAUUUUUUAAUUUUCUAUUGGACGACUCAUGGAAGUCGUCCAGAAAAAGUCAAAUUUCUGACACAAUCCGGUCAAAUGCAAAACUAACCCGUUUAAUAUGUCGUCUCGUUUUUUUUUUAACAAACAAAGAUGUACGACUUCCAUGUAAGUCGUCUAGAAAAACACAUUUAAAAGUCAAUUUCAAAAUUAACCUCUGCAUUGACCAGAAGACUUCCAUGUAAGUCGUCUACAGCCAGACGACUUACCCGGAAGUCAUCUGGACAAACAGAUCUGGAAAAAAAAAACUAAUUUCAUAGUUUUAGGCAGUGAGAUAAUUUGUUUAGCACACAAAAGUCUUCUCCAAGCACCCAUAAUCUCAAACAAAAGUGACCCACUAAGAAUCGUAAGCUUCAAUGGCUCUAUGAACCAUAAAAUUUUUAAAAUCAAAAUCUUGGGUUUUUUUCGUUGAAUAUGGAGAGAAAUUAAAGAGAUGUUUUUUUUUGGUUCAUUAGAAUUGAGAAAUAAAGAGUGUAAAUCGAUUUUUUGGUGCAUUAAGAACUUCAAAUUGGUUGUUCAUGGUGGUUGGUGUAUUGAUGGCAAUGGCAAUAUUGUGAAUACUUGAGGAAGAUGAGAGUGAUAGAGCAAAAUAAGCAUUUUCAAAAAAAAAACAAAAAGUGAUGGUAUUUUCGUGAAUAAUCUGAACUUUAGGGGUGAAAGAGGCAAGUAAAAGUUCCAAAAAAAACAAGGGUUAGUUUUGUGUUUGACUUUCAAGUUUUGAGUCAUAUUUGCAAAAAGUUCAAAUUUUUAAUUACGAUUAUAAAUUACUAAAAUUAUUAAAAGUACACAUUUAAUUUUUUUUUCAGAAUCUUAAAUUUUUUUUUAUAAAAAUACAAAUGGUCGUAAAAUCAUAUGAGUAUGAAAUCUUGGUUAAUAAUAGAUAACCAUAUUAAAAAGUAUACUAUAUAUGUAUGUUAAUAUCAUUUAAAAUUAACUACAGUGAAACCUCUAUAAAUUAAUAAUGUUGGGACUACACCAUAACUAUAAUUUUUUUAUUAAUUUAUAGAGAUAUUAAUUUAUCGAUAUACUAAUUGAACCAAAAACUCAAUUUGAGACUAUAAAUUAUAUUAUUUUAAAGAGAUUUUUAGUGUAUAUUAAUUUAUAGAGCAUUAAUUUAAAGAGGUUAUAGUGUAUUUACCAUAGAAAAUAGGUAAAUAUGAUUGUUUUGAUUUAUUUAUCAUAAAAAUUAAAUAAAAAGAGUGAUUAUUUUCAUUUAUGUGUUCAUGCAAUUUAAUUAUAUAUGCAAUAAUUACUUUCCUCUCAAUUAUCAAUAUAUAUUUAUUAUUUAUUAUUUUAUAAUUUGUAAAAAUGGAAAUAAAUAAUAGUGUAUGUAAAAAGAUUUGUAUACCGAAUUUUUGUUCCGCAUAAAACGCAGAUCUUCACCUAGUAUAUUUAUAAAAUUAAAAGUUAUCCUCCUGGAUGUGUGGAUCAAAAUCUAUUUUGUUACUUAUAAUUCUUAUUCAGUCCUUUUUUGUAAGGAAUUAUAGAGCAAUAGACAAACUGGUGACCAUAAAUGAGGAUAUGAACGAGAAUGAAUACUACAUUCUCCGUCGUUCUUUUUCUUUUGGAGAAAUUUCAUGUUUACCACUUUUAUAGUACCAUUAUUCAUCUUAACCACCACUUAAAUGGUAUUUUCAAAAAUAUCUACUUCAUUAACCACCACUUUUUAUAAUUUUAUUUAUAAUUUUUUCAAAAUUUCUUUUUGUUUUUUUCAAAUUUUUUCUUGAAAAUCAAAAAUUAUGUUUGAAACUAUUUCUUCAAAAGUUAUUAUAUUUUUAGUAUUUAUUUAUAUAUUUAUUAGAAAAAUUAUAUAUUUAUUAGAAUCCUAAAUUUUACAUUCCAAAAAUCCUAUCCCACCUCUCAAGUCUAAACCCGAAAUCAAGAUUAUUUAACCCUAUGAAUAUAAAUGUCUUUUACCUUUCAUUAACAUUGAAAGUAAAAGUGGUUAAUGUAAACAUAAAUAGUGGGAUUAUGAAUGUGGUAUACGUGGCAAUUUUUUUUUCUUUCACCAAAGUGGUGAAUAGGAAAAUCAGCUUUUGAAUUUAUUUUAUAUUUCUCCUUAGUUAUAUAUUUGUGCUUUUUUCAAAUAUGACUCAAAACAAAAAAAAAAUCAAACACAAAACUAAUCUAUGAUUUUUUUGGAACUUUCAUUUGCCCUCUUCAUGGAAAAGGGUCCUAUUUCAACAUGAACUUUGUAUGUCAUGCAUAUUCCUUUCCGAACUUUGUAGUAGUGCAUAUUCCAUACUGAACUAAGCAAAAAUUAAAAUAUACUACAUGAACUUUAAUACAUCGUGCCUUUUUAUUUCCGAACUUUUAGUAGUGCAUAUUCUAUACCGAACUAAACAAAAAUUCAAAAAUACUACAUGAACUCUUAAAAUCGUGCUUCUAUAUAUAUUGACCGUCAAAGGUGUUAGUCAGCCAUUAAUUUAUAAAAACAACGUCAUUUUGGAUAACAUCUAUAAACCAAAAUAACUUUCUUGUAUAAACUGUGUAAACAUUAACUUAUAUAUAUAUAUUUUAGUUUAAUCAAAUAAAUGUUACCAAAUUUUUAUUGUUUUAGUCUUAUCAAAUAAAUCUAUAAUUACUUAUGUUUUUAAAUUUACCGUUAAAAAUUAUUAUUUUAUAAGUUUUAAUUAUUUAUAAUUAAUUCAAAUAUUUACUUUAUGCUUGUCCACCAGUGUGAGAGUUUGAAUUUCCCAAAAAAUAAAUUUAAAUUUACAGAAUUUAUCCAAGAUAACACGUUUUGAUAAAUUAAUGGAUGACUAAUACCUUUGACGGUCAAUAUAUAUAAGCACGAUUUUAAGAGUUCAUGUAGUAUUUUAAAUUUUUUAUUUUACAGAAUUCAUCAAAAAAUAAUGUUGUUUUGAUAAAUGAACGGAUGACUAAGAGCAUCUCCAACAAGCCCCUUCAUUUUUUAUGGGGUCCACCUUUAAAAUAAAGGGUUAAAGGGGUGAUUCUCCAAUGGUGACCUUCAAAAUUUUAAUCUUAAAAACUUAUAUUUUACACUUUAGUCAUCAAUUUCAGUAAUAGUUCGUUAUAUUCAUUAAAAUUUUAUAAAUUAACAAUAAACCCAUAUUAAUGUAUGGUAUUGACAUAAUUAGUAAACAUAUUUAAUUAUAACAUCAAAUUACUUAUAAUAAAAGAUAAAAACAUUAAAACAUAAAAUUACAUAUAAAACAUAAACAAUUCAAAUUACAAUAUAUAUAUAUAUAUAUACAAUACAAAACUAAUCAAUACGAUUAUUUCCAUAAUGUUCCCAAAUAUGCUCAAUCAAAGCAUUUUUAAGUGAUAUAUGAGCUUUUUUAUUUUUUAUUCGAAGAUUACGUGCUAAAAAUUGUUGAAAACACAUAUAUUCGUUUAUGGCCAUCUCGUCAGUUUAUCUGAUCUGAACAAGCAAGAAUCAUACAAAAAAAGAAUUCAACAACAUCAAACCGAAGAGAAUGCUCGAAAUUUAUAUCGAGAAUACUUUGGUAAUUUUGGAGGUUCAAGACCAAAAUUACCUUAAUAUUAGUAUUGUAAUAUUUCAAUGUGUAAUAUUUCAGCUUAUGAAUUUACCUGAAUAUUAAUAUUGUAAGAUAUAUUUUAAUGUGUAAUAUUUUAGUUUAUGUAUCUUUUAUUUUGAUGUAAAAUAUUAUGAUUGUAUUAUAAUUUUGUAUUUGUGUAAAUUUUUCGAAAUAUAUUGUGUCAAAUAAUAUGUUUAUAUUAUAUUUUAUUAAUAUUAGUAUGUAUUGGUAUAUAAUAUUUAUUAAUAUAUUAUUAUUAUUUAAAAAUAAUUUUAUAAGACCACAAUUAUAAUAUUUCAAUGCCAGUAUAAUUAUAAUAGUAGAAUGCCAAAUAAGAAAUAAUAAGUACACAAUCAUUAAACAUAUAUAAAUGGAAGGACUAAAGUGAAAAGUAAACAGUGUUUAAAGGCCGUUACAGUGCCCCUUUAAAUUUGAAGGUGUACUAUUCACCCCUUUAAAAUUUGAAGGGAUGAAGGGCUGUUGGAAAGCAAAAGCCUUUAAAAAAUAAAGGGAUAAAGGGUUGUUGGAGAUGCUCUAACACAUUUGACGAUCAAUAUAUAUAGAAGCACGAUUUUUAGAAUUUAUGUAGUAUUUUUGAAUUUUUGUUUAGUUCGGUAUGGAAUAUGCACUACUAAAAGUUCGGUAAUGAAAAAGAACGAUGCAUUAAUGUUCAUGUAGUAUAUUUAAAUUUUGGUUCGGUUCAGUAUGGAAUACACACUACUACAAAGUUCAGAAAAGAAUAGGCACGACGGAUAAACUUGAUGUUGAAAUAUGCCAUUUUUCCCAUGUUCACCCCAUAAGUUUGGAUUAUUCACGAAAAUGCCAUUACCUUUUUUUUUUUAUAGAAAAUGAGUGUUUUACUCAAUCAUCCUCAUCUUCAUCAAGUAUUUAUAAUAUUGUCAUUGCCAUCAAUACAUCAACCCACCAUGAACAACCAAUUUGAAACUCUUAAUGCACCAAAGUUUCGAUUUUUACUUUUUAUAUCUCAUUACUUAUGCACACAAAUACAUCUCUUUCACGUUCUCUUAUUUAUCAAAAAAAAUCCAAGAUUUUGAUUCUAAACUUUGUAAGGUUCAAACUCAUGAUUCUUGGUCAUUAACAAGUGGGUCUGUUUUGUGGUGAAGUUACAUGUGAUAGGAGAAGCUAAUCAAGUUAUCUUACUCGUUGAAAGUAUGAAGUUAAUUUUUUUCAGAUCUGUUUGUCAGAAGACUUUCGUGUAAGUCUUAUGGUCGUAGAAGACUUAUACGGAAGUCUUCUGGUCAAUACAGAGUUUAGUUUUGCAAUUGACUUUAUGUGUGUGUUUAGAGACGAUUUCUCUGAAAGUCUUCCGCCAGAAGACUUCCCUGUAAAUCUUCCAAACUCUCGGUGGAAGUCUUCUCAUACUGAAAAUCGUCUCGGAUUAUUUUUGCAAUUGAAAAAUAAAAAUUAAAUAUUUAAGUUUUAGUUUUUUCAAUUGCAAAAGUAACGUGAGAUGUCGUCUAGUUAAAUAUAAUAUUUAAGUUUUAUUUUUCUGGUGGAAGACUUCAAUGUAAAUCAUAUAGAAAAAGUCAAUUUCUUAUAUAGUUCGGUCAAUUGCAAAACUAACAUGUUUAUACUAGACUCUGAUAUUUUCAAAAAAUUUGAAAAACAAAAUUAAGCUGGUAUUUACAAAG
This is a long non-coding RNA of Brassica rapa (field mustard), 7553 nucleotides long. RefSeq lists it as uncharacterized. NCBI's taxonomy places the organism in Eukaryota, Viridiplantae, Streptophyta, Magnoliopsida, Brassicales, Brassicaceae. The record is from RefSeq and is a predicted model, not a curated record.